RNAcentral lists this ribosomal RNA (468 nucleotides) under uncultured bacterium. RNAcentral describes it as "partial 16S ribosomal RNA". It matches the Rfam family "Bacterial small subunit ribosomal RNA", at positions 28 to 507 of the family's 1533-position model. The record is from RNAcentral.
GACGAACGCUGGCGGCGUGCUUAACACAUGCAAGUCGAACGGAAAGGCCCUGCUUUUGUGGGGUGCUCGAGUGGCGAACGGGUGAGUAACACGUGAGUAACCUGCCCUUGACUUUGGGAUAACUUCAGGAAACUGGGGCUAAUACCGGAUAGGAGCUCCUGCUGCAUGGUGGGGGUUGUAAAGUUUCGGCGGUUGGGGAUGGACUCGCGGCUUAUCAGCUUGUUGGUGGGGUAGUGGCUUACCAAGGCUUUGACGGGUAGCCGGCCUGAGAGGGUGACCGGCCACAUUGGGACUGAGAUACGGCCCAGACUCCUACGGGAGGCAGCAGUGGGGAAUAUUGCACAAUGGGCGGAAGCCUGAUGCAGCAACGCCGCGUGCGGGAUGACGGCCUUCGGGUUGUAAACCGCUUUCGCCUGUGACGAAGAGUGAGUGACGGUAAUGGGUAAAGAAGCACCGGCUAACUACGUG